This is a long non-coding RNA of Camelina sativa (false flax), 610 nucleotides long. RefSeq lists it as uncharacterized. The record is from RefSeq and is a predicted model, not a curated record. Lineage: Eukaryota; Viridiplantae; Streptophyta; Magnoliopsida; Brassicales; Brassicaceae.
UUCCUUUUUCCUUCAGACCAUUUUCAGAAAAAAAAAAUCUCUUCGUCUCCUAGCUACGAUAACUAAUCGAAUCAAGCCUUUGAUUCGAGAUCUUUGAUUUGUUUUCCAAAAAACCAGACCUAAUCGAAUCAAGCGAAGCAAUCCGUUGAGGCUGGAUAAGGAGAGAAACCAGUUGGGAUUUGCGAUAGAGGACAUAAUUUUUUUGGUUGGGUCCUUUGAAUGAUAGUGUGGACAUAUGCAACUUACUACUAUGAAAAACACUGGACAGUGUACUGCUUCCACGAAUGUAGGACCUUAACCUGAACCCGCCAAGUGCUUUUGUACGGCUUGACAUCAGCGAGGUUCUUUGUUUACGUGUGAAGAAGUCUAUAUUGGUGGGAUUUUAUCACUCUGCUCUGAUCUCCUGAUCUCCUAGAUGAUCUAAAGGUCGGCCUGUAUAGAUAGAAAACAUUAUAUUAUAACUAUGUUAUUGUUACGACUAUUCUGUUAAAAUUAAUUUAAUGAACAUAUCAUAGAUCUCAUGUUUAAGCAUACAUCAUCUCAUAUUAUAUCUUACACUCCGAUUAAUAUUUAUACUAAAAUACGAUUUAAUAUUAUAGGUCAUUUUUAA